AUUUAUUCAAGUACCGACAAUAACACCUAGCGACGACGGAGGCUUUAACCCAUUAGCAGUGGCGACAACGGUAACACAUCCCCAAUUUCUCAGGUACGCACUCUUUUUCUCUCUCUUCUAUGACUAAACAUUCAACUAUAGGAUUAUGACAAUCGUAGAGUACAUCAAUUCUGACAUGGACAGACAAUGAUAAUAUUCGUAGAGUGAACAUCCCAAGGAAAUUUGAUAAAUCUCUUAAGGCUAAGAAGAAAGACAGUUGGAAAUGUAUCUAACAACUUUAUUGCUGAAAAGGUAGCACCCACGUGCUUAUUUAUGUAGUAGUCAGUAAUGAAGUGAUAGAGCAGAAAGCUGGUACAUCUCACUCCAAAGUUAACAAUCAGAGAUCUUUAAAGAUCUGAACAUUAAAAGAACAAGGAUAACUUUUAAAUGGGAAAAUCUCAUGGAAGGUUUAUAAAAGGCAAGCAAAUUCAAUCAAACAGUAAUAACGAACAAUCAAUCAGUCGAACUGCUGCCCAAUUAUAACGCCCCCAAAAUCCAGACUAUUUUCACCUCUGAUCUUGAGCAUUAACAUAUAACUUCAUUCUUAUUUCCUGUCAAUAAUCAAUAUUAUAAUUAAUAAAACUUGUAUAUUCUAAAACUUUUUACAACAUUCAAUAUUAAUAAAGAUAUAAAAAUUUAGUUAUUCAAAACUUUCCUGAGUUCCAGAAUUUACAACCUUUACAACUCAUAUUUAUAUCUUGAAAUCAUAUAUAUACUAUGAUUCAUCUGUCAGUUGUGAAUAUAAAAUUAAAAUUUUAAUAUCAAAUUAUUCUUCUGAACCUCCGUAACUAUAAUCCAGCAACUAUAUACUCAAUACAUAUCAUCUCUCAUAUAGUAUUAUCACCAUAUUAAUUUAAUUUAAAGAGAAUGUAAAAUUACAUCUUAAAUUCAAAAGAAUAUACUUUGUUCCAUGAUUCAAUGAUUUACAUGACUUAUCUUACGUACAUCAUAAAUAUUCAUCUCGACCUAGUAUGAAUCUAACCAAAGAAAACAAUAAAAAAAUUCUUUUUAACGUGCCUCAAGUCUUUAUCGCCAUGAUCACCAGAGAAUUAAAUAUUUAAUCUGCAAAUGAAAUUAGUUGCAAGUAUAAGUACGACGGUCCAACAAGUCUAAUAGUACACAUUUCAUGCUUCAAGUAUUAUACAUACUCUGCAUUUUGUUCGUGUGUCAUGUAUCUUAAGCUAUGCAUUUUAUACAUGCAUCUUAAAACUAAUGUUAUUCAUUUUAUACAUGCUUCUCAGGUCACAUAUAUCGCAUUUAAGUUUCAACAAUUAAUACAUGUUUCACAUAUAAUGCUAAUCACAUUUACUCCGAACAACGGAUUUCUUUAUCCACUUCAUAUCAACAGUUUAACACAACAGUAACACCUUUUACAAAUAACAAGUUUGCAAAUUACUGAAAGAACUUUCCUCGUUCGUUAGUUUACACAAAUCAAAUGUCUGAUGUAUAAACUUGCUCUUCGGUUAACAUAAUUCUUACGUUUUCAUUCGUCGUAUAACCUAUAUAUAAAAUCAGGUUAUAACAUGCUUAAUAAUAUAAUUCGAGAUUUAAUAUACUUCUAGAUUAGCUUAUUAAUAUUUAUUUUUUCUUACGCCCGAUGUAUCAUAUUUUGUUGGUUCAUUAUCACAUCAUUAGGACUAUCCAACAUAAUCAUAUCAUAAAAUUGCAUCACAAUUAACAGAACUGUGAGAAUUUCCUCAAGUUCAAUUUUACACUUUUUGGGUUAUUCAAAAAGUGCAACUCAACGAUUACAUAUUUAGACUCCACACAAAUUUUCUUUGAUUAUUUCAUUAUUUUCAUAUAAAUAGUUGUAAGCUUUAUAUAAUUCAUAAUGUUCUCCAUUUAUAUUUUCUAAUAUAUAUUGAUCAAAUGAAGUGCUAGGUAAUUGAUGAUCAGAAUUUACCUCAGAUUUUGGUGAUGAAUCAUUGUCUGCCAUUAAGCAAAGAUUUGCAAUUUCUUCGGUUCGUUCAACAGUUCUUUUUCAUCACUUAGAUCCCAACCUUCCUCAGCUAGUAGAACUUUAUUGUUGAUUAAUUUUGGACAAUCAUUUUUGAAAUGACCAGGUUAGCUGCAUUCAAAACAUGUGUUUGAACUUUCAUUUGAGUUGACAUUUCUGAAGUUAUUGUUGUUUGCUUUAAAAUUUCCUCCUUGAGCCUUUGUCCUGAAUACUUGCUUGCUUUUGAAGUUAUUGAAGUUGUUGUUUGUUUUCAUAAAGUCUUUGCCAUAUUUUCUGGCUUUGCUUUGAAUCACUCUUCUGAGUUUUCUGGAUAACAGAGCAACUUCAUUAUUAUCUAGACUCAGAAGUUCUUCAUUUAGUUCUUCAUCAUCACUUUCUUGAUCUACAAGUAGAGCUUUGAAAGCAAUUCCUUUCUUUUUGAGAUCUAUGUCUGAUCCGGAUUUUUCGACUAGCAUGCCAACUUCAUGGGCACACAUAUUUCCAAUGAGACUGUCAAGAGGAUAGAUAGUUAGAUCCUGCAUUUCUUUGAUGGUUGAAACCUUUAUUUUCCAUAUGGAUGGAAAGGUUUUGAGGAUUCUUCUGUUUUUCUCAUUUGUUGUAUAUGUCUUCCCUACUUGUUCCAGUUCGUCAAUGAUUCUGGAGAAAUGUGUCUCCAUAUCAAUGAUUUUUUCACCUUCUUCUAGCUUGAAGCUUUCAUACUCUUGAAUUAGAGCAUCCUUUCUGGUUUCUUUGAUAUGAUUGGUUCCUUCAUAGGUUAAAAUCAAUUUUUUCCAGAUUUCUUUUGCAUUCUUACAAUUGCUAACUCUUUUAUAUUCUUUUUCAAUGAGAGCACUAGUUAGCACUUGUUCGACGUUAGAAGCUAUAUUCAUAGCCUCUUCAUCUUCAGUGGUGAAUUCAUCAAUAUCUUUUUCAACGAUCUUUUCUCCUAGAAUUUUGGUUAGGACUUUUACACCUCGUUCAAUUGCAGACCAAACUUUGAUUCCUUGUGACUUGACAUAGAUUUUGAAUCUGUUCUUCUAGAUGCCAAAGUUGGUUCCAUCAAAUAGUGGAGGUCUGGACAUAGAUAGUCCUUCUCCACAACUAGUAGCAUUGUUGGCCAUGGAUUUACUCUUAGGUAUUCUUGUAUUUACUCAACAAACAAGUUAAAGAGCACUGCUUUGAUACAAAUUGAAAGUCCAAUAAUAAUCUGGGAGAGGGGGGUUGAAUAGAUUAUUAUAAAUUAAAAAUUUAUCUUAGAUUUAGUUAAUUAAUUUACAAUAUUAGAAUAUAAUAUGCAAGAUAAUAAAAACUCAAUCACACAAUGCACAAAAAUUUGUCUAGUUCACAACAUACAUCUCGAGUAUGUUGCUACGUCCAGUCUCAAACUCCUCUCUAGGACUUGAGAUUCUAUUACUAUCAGUAAUAAAUACUCCUUUAACAGGCGGAGAAGCUUUUACAAAAUUUUAUAGACAAACUUUUAACUUUUCACAACUACCUAUCUUGGACAGCAAGCUCUCAGCUCCCUCCUCAAGCUUAGUUGUACCUUCUUUUAAGUUCAGUUAUAUUAUAUGAUUUGGUCUUGAAACAACAAUGUUAUUCACCUCACAAGUUCACUAGAGACUUAACUCGCAGCUGACCUUUCUAAGACUCUGGUCUUGGUCAAAGAUUUACUCAUUUUUCUCACAGGUACAUAAAAUAAACUAACUCUGACUUUUCUCUUUUUAUAAAAUAUUCUACAACGACGUGCUUCUUAAAUAAGCAGAUAAAAUUAAAGAUCAAAAGGUUCAAAGAAAAUUUACUUCUUGUUAAGCAGAUGUGAAUUUUGAUUCCGUUAUAAAAGUUUAAACACAUUUAUAUUUGUGUAGCAAUGCUUCUUGAUCAAGCAGAUAAAAAAAUUUAAGUGUAUGUCCAAUAAUGCUUCUGAAUAAGCAAAUAUUUAAUGCAAGUUUUUAAAGAAUUAUUUAUUCUUUAUAAUAAAGAAUGUGUUUCUAUGGAUUUAAUCAAAUAUGAUUUUAACAUAAAAGUCUAAUUAACUUUUUGUAUAUAUGCAAUAAGUAUUUUUAUGAGUAGAUGAAUUUAUGAACUAAUACUUGUGAUGACAUAUAUCAAGUAUACUAAAUAAAUCAGUUAAGAUAUACUUGAUAUAAUAAAUAUAUUUGUUUAACUCAAAAGAUAUAUAGAAAUAUUUUAUCUAUUAUGUGGAUAAUAUAUACAGAAGGCCACUUAGGAUUUUAAAGACCGUUUGAACAAUUCACGCUAUCAUAUAUUCAAGGGUGAAAAAGUUCAAAUUGUUUCGAUGUCUAAGUACUGACCAAAUUUAUAUUUUUCACACUUGUAUAUUUAUAUAAAUAUUUUCAUUGAACUACUUGAGUUUUCAGGACUAGUUGAAUAGUUCUCUAUGAGAAGUAUUUCGGGGUCAAUCAACUAUUAAUCUAUAAUAUUUAUAUAAAUAAUGAAUAUAUAAAGUAUUUAUAUAAAUAUUUUUGAUAGACUACUUGACUUUCUGGACAAGCUGAAUAAUUCUCUAUGAGAAGUAUUUCGGGGUUGAUCAAGUAUAAUCUACUUUACGAUAUUUAUAUAAAUAAUAAAUAUAUGAAAUACUUAUAUAAAUAUUUUCGAUAGACAACUUGAAUAGGUACCCGUUACCUCGCAUUGAUGACCUGCUUGACCAGUUGCAAGGUGCCAAAUUCUUUUCAAAGAUUGAUCUUCGUUCCGGAUAUCAUCAGUUAAAGAUUAUAACUGAUGACAUUCCAAAGACUGCUUUCAGAACUCAGUACGGGCAUUAUGAAUUCCUAGUCAUGUUUUUUGGAUUGACUAAUGCUCUUGCUGCCUUCAUGGAUAUGAUGAAUAUUUAGAUUAUUUUGUGGUUGUCUUUAUUGAUGACAUUCUCAUAUACUCCAAAAGCCGUGAAGAUCGUGAGAAACACUUGAGGCUGAUACUCCAAAAGCUUCGUGAGAACAAGUUAUAUGCCAAGUUAAAGAAAUGCGAGUUCUGGCUUAAGGAAGUAGCAUUUCUUGGGCACGUGAUAUCGAAUCAUGGAAUAUCUGUUGACCUGGCAAAGAUUGAAGCAAUUCAAAGCUGGGAGCAACCUAAGUCAGUAACCGAAGUGCGUAGCUUUCUGGGCUUAGCUGGUUAUUAUCGGAGAUUCAUGGAAGGAUUUUCUCGAAUCGCUACUCCAUUAACUCAGCUAACUCAAAAAGAUACAAAAUUCGGUUGGAGCGAGGAAUGUGAGAAGAGUUUUCAAGAACUCAAGAGGAGACUCAUUUCAGCACCUAUUCUGACAAUACCAUCUGGUUCAGAGGGAUUUGUCAUCUACAGUGAUGCUUUAGAUAAAGGUUUAUGAUGUAUUCUCAUGCAGCAUGGGAAAUUCAUAGCCUAUGCCUCACGAUAACUCAAAGAAUAUGAGAGGAAUUAUCCUACUUAUGAUCUAGAGUUGGCAGUAGUCAUUUUUGCGCUAAAGAUCUGGAGACAUUACCUGUAUGGGGAGAAACUGGAGAUCUAUAUGGAUCAUAAAAGCCUCAAAUAUUUCUUCACCCAAAAGGAACUUAACAUGCGGCAACGACGUUGGCUCGAGCUGUUUAAAGAUUACGAUCAUACCAUUCAAUACUAUCCUGGAAAAAUGAACGUGGUAGCUAACGCGUUGAGUAUAAGAUCUUAUGCGGGUACGAGUGCGAUAUUAUCAACGCAAAGGCCUAUUUGGUAUAACUUACAAAGGAUGGAGAUAGAGUUAAAGACUCUAGGGACCCACGUGAUGAUGUCAAAUAUAUGAGUAGAACCGACUUUAAUCGAUAAAGUUAAAGCUGCUUAAGCUACGGACCUGGAGCUGAUGCGUAUGAGGAAGAAAGUACAAGAAGGUGCUAUUCUAGAAGCAAGAAUCGAUGAAGAAGGAAUACUUUGAGUCAACUCCAGACUUUAUGUUCCUAACGACUCUGAUUUGAAGUAUAAAAUCAUGAUGGAGGCGCACAACACACUGUUUGCAAUCCAUCUUGGGAGUACCAAAAUGUAUCGUGAUUGUUGACAUACAUUUUGGUGGAGCAAUAUGAAGAGAGAGAUAGCGGAGUUUAUCUCAAGGUGUUUAACUUGUCAACGUGUCAAGGCGGAGCAUCAAGUGCCAAAAGGUCCAUUGCAACCACUUGAAAUUCCAGAAUGGAAGUAGGAGCACAUUACCAUAGAUUUCGUUACUGGUCUUCCCAAGGUUACUCAAGGCAUAGAUGCAAUUUGGGUCAUUGUUGAUAGAUUAACCAAAUCUGCUCAUUUCUUACCUAUACGAGAAACUUAUUCACUUGAACGUCUUUCUCGUAUAUACAUAAAUGAGAUUAUAAGACUGCAUGGUAUGCCAAUAUCCAUAGUUUCUGAUUGAGACCAAAGAUUCACUUCACAAUUUUGGGUUAUUUUAUAGAAAGUUAUGGGCACGAAUUUACGAUUUAGUUCGGCAUAUCAUCCUCAGACGGACGGGCAUUCGGAGAGGACUAUUUAAACUCUUGAGGAUCUAUUAAGACUCUGUGUCAUUGACUUCAAAGGAAUUUUGUUGCCUCCUUUAUAGUCUAACAAAAAGGACUCUAACUCAUGCAAGCAUAUAUAGGUCAACAAGUAGUACAGAGUAAGAAAAGUAUCGAUCCACAGAGAAAGGUUUUAAAUCUAAAUUAUCAUGCAUGAACUAUAUCACUAUCUUUAUAUGGUUAGACGCUCAACUCAUAAUUAACUUUUGAUUCUAAAUCAGUUCAUGAAAUAAAAAUUAUAAUUACUAAAGUGAAGUAAACAAAUUAGAGAAGAAUGGGAUUCUAAUUCCAUUCAAUGUUUCACCUAAACUGCAACCCUCAUGUAAUGUUUAAAUAUUUAUCAUGGAAAGCUAGUCAAGAGAACAAAAGUGGACAUAACAAUUUUUCAACGAACUAUGACCAUUUUACAUAAAAUCCACAUAUGAUAGAAAUCAUGUAGGCAUCACAUUUACCAAAAUCACUAUAUGUCUAUGUUAAAUUAAAGCAAAUAUUAUUUAAAUGCAAGCUCUUUUAAUAACUACACACGAUGGACCGAUAUAUGCCUAUCCGGGUCACUAAUCACAAAGCUUAAACAAAUCAGCCUUAUGAACAUAUGCCAUUAUGAUAUAAUCUACACUUAUAUUUCAUUUUUCAAAUCCAUACAAGCAAUUAAUGUGAAUGGUGAUCAAUCAUUUAAAUAUUAAGCAUAAUCAUAAUAGGCAUUUCCACAAUAAUAUUUAAGGCUUGAUUAGCAGCGCGGCCGCGCUGCUGCUGCAUUCUGUCUUCUGCUAUCUUGUUAUUGCUGCUUUUUGUUUGUUGUUAUUUGUUCUUCAUUUCUUCUCUUUUUCACUGCAUUCAUUCACUGCUUCAGUUCCUCAUCUACUCAUGUUCGCCUUUCCAUGCUUUUGCUAGCAUCAUGCCACCAUGCCAAUCCAUGCUUUCCAUUCCACUUCAUGCCUUAUGUUGCUAAAAGGGGUUCUAACUACAUAAACUGCAAAACAAACAUAAAAUGCAAAUAAAAUAUAUUAAAAAUUACUUGAGAUGAGCAUAAUUCCAGUAAGUUAGCACCCAAAAAAUAGGUAUAAAACCUACUUAUCAAAUACCCCCAAACUUGAAUUAUUGCUUGCCCUCAAGCAAUGCACAUGAAAAUAAACAAUUCAAUGCAACUACAUGUUAUGCAAACUAUAAUAUGCUGCAAAUGAAUCCCAAGUUUUUCAGCUAAGAUGAAAUUCCAAUACUUAUGCCUUAGAGAAUUAUCCGGAUUUAAGAAUAAAGUUUCAACCCAAACUACAGACAUAAUAUCAUACACUCAAAUAACCCAUACUCACUAUAAAGAUGUUAUGUGUGUAUGUUGUGUUCACCAAUAUACUUGAUCAAGGCAAAGACUACACAUGUUAUAUUGCUAAAAACAAAACAUUGAAGUCUAAAUCAAGAACCAUGUAUACUAAUGCAACAAAAACUGCUCCAACACAUCAAUACAAACUAAAGUUCAACAAUGGAUUUAAUCUACUUUAUUUUUACUCACAAGGGCGAUUCUCGCACUUUCCCACGGUGUUUAUUUAUUUCUUUUUUUUAGCGAGUGCAUUUUACGCUCCAUCCCGCCCAACCACAAGCUUUAAUAAUUCAACUUGGGAAGGUUUCAAUAAUACUUUUCUCUUUUUUAUAGUAAGCAUACCCAUGUGUUCCCAAAGUUUGAUUAUUAGUGUUUUCACAGCCUAAGUCCACUUUCUUCACAAUUCUAUUUUUAAAACAACAUUUUCUUCUAAGCAUGCAAAACAUGUUAUUCUUAUACCAACAAGCAUAAAUGAACAACUACGUGUUAACCGAAAGCAUCUUAAACAACAAGCAUGGCUUACAUCAUGUAAAACAUUAUAUCUAAGCUCAUGUUAUCCACUAAAUUCAAAAAUCCUUCAGAAUUCUAUUUCAUCACUGGCUAGACUAAAGCUCCAUAAAGCUAGAAACUUGGAAUAUGCAACUAAAAACAUAACUAAAACAUAUAAUAAAUAGAAAAAUAGAAAAAUUUUCUGCAAUUAUUAACUAACACAUGCUAAACACAUAAAUAUGCAAAAAAUUAAACUAAACAUGCAAAAAUGAUGCAAAUUAACUGCAUGCACUACACUACUACCCAAUACCCCCAAACUUAAAAUAUUCAUUAUCCCAAUGAAUGAAGGUAUAGGGUUUAAAGGAACUCCUGUGACGCCCCCAAAAUAGGCAUACAUCACCGAUCUUGAGUCACCAGAUACAUGGUACAUAAUACAACUAUAGACUUCUUUUAUACAACUAUCAUGUAAAAUACAACAAAACGUAGCUGAGAGUUUAAACAAGAAUAUUGUCUUCUAGACAAUAUCCACUCUCAGUGGAGUCCUCAUUACAUUUAUUAUCACACUAUUUCACAGAAUAGUGAGUACUACUAAAGCCACUUAUCCUGGACCAUUACUCCAUUUCCCGACUCGUCCCAGCUAUAUUCUCAUUUCCUGAAGAGAACGAUGAAAGAAAAGGGUGAGCUCAACUAGCCCAGUAAGAAAUAUUUUGACUAAGAUAAUGCAGAAUAAAUUAUCCUUAACCUUCAACAGUAAAACAACUGAUAGAAUACAAUAGACAACAAGUUUUAGAUCAACAACUGCAGCGAAAUAAGCAAUCCAUUAGAAGAGUCGAGUAGAGCAUGAUAUCUACUAUCUUCUAUGAUUUAAAAAAAAAAUCAUCAACUUUAUCGAUGAGACUCAGCUUAAUAAAUAAACCACAUCAUCGAAUUGUCUCCUUUGCAUUUGCAUAAAAUUCCCGUACAAUUGUUAUGAGUGCAACCAUGGGUGUGGAGCAGACUCCAUGAAAACAUCUUUCUCUAAUCAUGUCUUUCAAUUGCCCAUCUUGUGGCUCUGGCUUGAAACCUCGCUCUCUGACAAAUGAUUUAGCCACGAUUCUGAGGUAUUCCAUCUGGGCUUCAAGACUUACAAAUUUGGAAAAAUCCACAGUGUCUCCACUCUGGCUACUUGCAAAAGACGACUCUGGAGUGCGAGAACAAGCACGUUUUAGUCCCAUUACACUUGAUAAACAGACAAACUCUAAAUUACAAAGAAAAAUUGGACUGAGAAAAUCGUGCGCUAAACACCCCCAAACUUAUUGUUUUCACUACAUCUCUAAAGAAACCCUAACUUUUCUGUGACUGAAUAGAAGAUAAAGAUAAAAGUUUGAAUGUGGAUAGGAGAAUGAAAUGCGUAUAUAAUGGGAUGAGGAGUUACGAAUUUGAAAUGGAUGGUUUGGAGAAGAAAAGAGUCGUGCGUCUAUUUAUGUUUUGAAACUAAUAGAGAGUAGGCGCACGUUGCAAACUGAUAUAAGAAUUUGGAGGAGACACAUCUUUAAAACAUUUAAAAAAAUUUCAGGCUCCGGUCUCGGGUGCAGCUGCGCAGCUUUUACACUGAAUAAAGGCGCGGGCACGUGAUAGGCUAUGCUGCACAGGGAUACGGUGCGGGCGCGCCAUUUUGUACUAUUUUCCUUACGCGAUCACGCGGCCCUGUAUCCUAACCAUACUGAUCUGCAUCUUUAAAAAUAGCAAAGCGACUACUGAUAAUCUGCAAUGCGCCUAUACAAAUAAUAAAUAUCAGUAUGAGAUAUAUCAAUUCUCCAAAAUCAAAACAUGAACUAAUUAAUAUGCAUGAAUGACUAUCCCAAAACAAUGCUUUGUAUGCUACUCCUAAUCAUCAUUAUAUGCACAAUCAGUUCCAUAAAAUUUAUACCACACUUGUUAUUUUAUAACAACUAACAUGAAAAUGAGAAACAAAUAUGAUCCAAAACAAAAUUAAACAAGAGAUAAAGAUAGAAAUAAUAGGGUGCCUCCAAUCAAGUUCUAAGUUAUAGUCAAUUAGCUUGACUAUCUCUGAUUGAAUCAUGUUGAAGAAAGAAUGGAGGUGACUUUCUAUCUGUCAACCUCACCACCAUAGUAGUGCUUAAGCCGCUGUCCAUUCACUUUGAAUGGCUUAUCUGGGAAUCUAUCGAAUACCUCUACUGCACCAUGUGGAUAAAUUAUCUUCACAGUAAAUGGCCCUGACCACCUUGAUUUGAGCUUUCCAGAAAAAAGUUUAAGUCUUGAAUUAAACAACAGAACUCUUUGUCCCAGAUCGAAUACUCUCUCCAAGAUCUUGUGAUCAUGCCAUCUCUUCAUCUUUUCUUUAUAUAGCUUGGAGUUUUCAUAAGCCUGCAAUCUGAAUUCAUCCAACUCAUUUAGUUGGAGUAGGCGUUUUUCACCUGCAGCCUUCAAAUCAAAGUUGAGCUUAUUAAUUGCCCAAUACGCCUUAUGCUCAAGCUCCAUGGGAAGGUGACAAGCCUUUCCAUAAACCAGCUGAAAUGGUGACAUUCCUAAUAGAGUCUUAUAAACAGUCCUAUAAGCCCAUACAACAUCUUCAAGCUUCAAUGACCAAUCCAUUCUUGUGGGGUUCACGACUUUCUCCAAAAUUCUCUUUACUUCACGAUUUAAAACUUCUGCUUGGCCAUUGGUUUGAGGAUGGUAAGCUGUAGCAAUGUGAUGAUUUACCCCAUACUUAGCCAAUAAGGCUGUAAACUGCUGAUUAUAGAAAUGACUGCCUUCAUCACUAAUAAUAGCCCUUGGAGUCCCAAACCUUGUAAAAAUACUUCUUUAUAAAAAUCGUAGGACUACCUUAGCAUCAUUAGUUGGAAAAGCUGCCACUUCUACCCACUUUAAAACAUAGUCGACUGCUAACAAGAUGUAUAAAUUUCCACAUGAAGAAAUGAAACGACCCAUGAAAUCUAUCCCCCAAACAUCAAAAUUUUCAACCUCAAGGAUUGUGUUCAAUGGCAUCUCAUUUCUUUUUGAUAUAUUCCCAACUCUUUGACAUCUAUCACACCUCUGGACAAAACUGUAAGCAUCUUUAAAUAUCAUCCGCCAGUAAAAUCCUGCUUGUAACACUCUAGCCGCUGUUUUUUCUCCACCAUAGUGACCUCUAUAUAAUAAAGCGUGGCAAUCCUGCAAAAUCCCCUCUGUCUCGCUAUAUGGGAUACACCUCCUUAUCAUCUGAACAACACACUGUUUGAACAAAUACGGUUCAUCCCAUAUAAACCACUUCACAUUAUGCAAAAAUCUCUUCUUUUGGUGCCCAGUCAAGUCUGUAGGUAUGAUCUUGCUCACUAAAUAGUUAGCAAAGUCCGUGAACCAAGGCACUUCCCCUUUCACCACAAAUAAUUGUUCAUCUAGAAAAGAUUCAUUAAUCACAACUUUGUCAUCUCCAUCUCUUCCCUGAUUUUCCAGUCUCGAUAAGUGGUCCGCUACUUGAUUCUCAGUACCUUUCCUAUCCUUGAUCUCCAAAUCGAAUUCUUGCAAUAGAAGUAUCCACCUGAUUAAUCGAGGCUUUGCAUCUUUCUUUGCCACAAAAUAUAGAAUUGUCGCAUGAUCUAUGUAUACUAUAACCCUCGUCCCAAUUAGAUACGCUCGAAACUUAUCAAAAGCAUAUACAACUGCCAACAGUUCCUUCUCUGUGGUGGUGUAGUUCAAUUAAGCAUCAGUAAGGGUCUUGCUCGCAUAAUAUAUCACAUGAAAAAUCUUUUCCCUUCUCUGGCCCAAAACAGCCCCCACAGUAUAAUCACUGGCAUCACACAUCAACUCGAAUGGUAAGUCCCAAUCUGGUGUUGUAAUCACUGGUGCUGAAGUUAACUUCCUCUUUAAAUGCUCAAAUGCAGACAUGCAAUCCUCAUCAAACUUGAAUUGUACAUCUUUCUCCAAUAAUCUACAAAGUGGCUUUGUGAUCUUGGAGAAGUCUUUAAUGAACCUACGGUAGAAGCCUGCAUGCCCUAAAAAACUGUGAACACCUUUUACAGAAGUUGGUGGUGGCAAAUUCUCAAUGGUCUCUAAUUGGCCCUGUCCACCUCGAAUCCUUUCUUCGACACCUUAUGUCCCAAAAUUAUUCCUUCUUGUACCAUAAAAUGGUACUUUUCCCAAUUAAAAACUAAAUUCAUCUCAACACAUCUUCUCAGUACCAUCACUAAAUUUUCCAGACACAAAUCAAAAGAAUCCCCGAAUACUGAGAAAUCAUCCAUAAAUACCUCCAAAUUAUGAUCCACCAUAACCGAGAAAAUUGCCAUCAUACAUCUCUAAAAAGUGGUUGGGGCAUUGCACAACCCGAAAGACAUCCUUCUGAAAGCGAAUGUACCAUAUGAACAUAUGAAAGUUAUCUUUUCUUGGUCUUCUGGAGCUAUCACAAUCUGAUUAUAGCCUGAAUACCCAUCCAGAAGGCAAUAAAAUUUAUAACUCGAUAAUCUGUCUAACAUCUGAUCAAUAAAUGGCAAUGGGAAGUGAUCCUUCCUUGUAGCUUUGUUAAGUCUGUGAUAAUCCAUGCAGACUCUCCAUCCCGUCACUGUUCUCAUCGGAAUCAACUCAUUGUUUUUAUUGGAGACUACGGUCAUUCCACCCUUCUUUGGCACACACUUUACCAGGCUCACCCACGAGCUGUCUGAGAUCGAAUAAAUAAUUCCUGCAUCCAGCCAUUUCAACACUUCCUUUUUGACCACUUCCUUUAUAAUUGGAUUAAGUCUCCUUUGCUGCUCCAUUGAAGGCUUGCUCUUAUCUUCAAGUAGGAUCUUGUGCAUACAGAAUGAUGGGCUGAUCCCUUUGAUAUCUACUAUGGUCCAUCCAAUUGCUGACUUAAACUCUCUAAGGACUCUUAGCAGUUUUUCUUCCUGAAAAGAUGUUAGUGCAGAAGAAAUAAUCACAGGUAAUUUUGGAUUAUCAUUUAAAAAUGCAUACCUCAAAUAAUCUGGAAGUGGUUUCAACUCAAGUUCUGGAGGUGCCUCAAGAGAUGGCUUUAAUUUCACUGAUGACUCUCCAGCAAUCUUUAAUGGCUUAACAAGAGUCUUAAACUUUCUGAACUUUGGAGUUGUGUCAAGUAUUUGAACAAUUUCUUCAAUAUCACCAUCUUCUAUCUCUAAACUUCCCAUAAUGGCAUUCUUCAAAGGUUUAUAUUCCACCAAGUUCUCUACUUCAUCAUUCAGUACCUUUUCCACAAAAUCAAUCCUGAAGCAUUCCUCUUCAUCUGUUGGAAAUUUCAUUGCCUUGAAUACAUUAAAGGUGACUUCCUGAUCAUGAACUCGCAUUGUCAAUUCACCUUUUUAAAAAUCUAUCAAGGUUCUUCUUGUGGCUAGGAAUGGUCUUCUAAGAAUGAUCGGUAUACUUUUAUCCUCUUCAUAGUCCAAUAUGAUGAAAUCAGCCGAGAAGAUGAAUUUAUCCACUUUAACUAGUACAUCUUCCACAAUACCCUGUGGAUAUGUAAUAGAACUGUCAGCUAGCUGCAAUGAAAUGUUUGUCAGCCUUGGAGCCGGCAAUCCCAACUGAUUGAACACUGACAAUGGCAUCAAGUUGAUACUUGCCCCUAGAUCGCACAAGCAUUUGCUGAAACUCAUCUUUCCAAUCGUACAAGGUAUCGAGAAGCUACCCGGGUCCUUCAGCUUUAGAGGUAACUUGCGUUGAAGCACUGCACUACAUUCUUUGGUCAAGGCCACUGUUUCAAAGUCUUCUAGCCUUUUCUUCUGUGACAAAAUACUCUUCAUAAACUUUGCGUAACUAGGCAUCUGUUCCAAUGCCUCAGCAAAAGGUAUGUUGAUAUGUAGCUUUUUAAACACCUCCAAAAAUUUACUGAACUGCUUAUCUUCCCUUUGCUUCUGCAACCUCUGUAGAUAAGGAAUAUGGGGAUGAAUAACUGGCAUCUUGGUCAUCGGUUUCUCAGAUGACUCUUCUUUAUUCUUCUUCACUUUCCGCAGUUCUGAACCUUCAUCAAACAAAACUUCACUAGAAAUUUUUCCUUCAUCACGCGGCCGCGCGUCCUCUCUUUGCAAAAUUGGUGCAGUCACGCCAUGUUGUGAUUCUGCAGUUUGUUUCCCUGACCUUAAAGUGAUAGCCUGACAUUGUUCCUUACCCUCCCUUCUUGGAUUAACCUCUGUUGUACUUGGCAAUGAACCCUGUGGUCUGUUGUUAAGCAUGCUAGCCAUUUGACCUAUUUGCGUUUCCAAAUUUUUGAUAGCCACUGCUUGGCUUUUAAUCAUCACCUCGAUAUUUGCCAUAUACUUCAUCAUCAUCUCCUGCAUCUCUGAUUUCUUCUCUUGUUGAGGUGCAGGUGGUGGAUGAUGUUGUUGUUGCUGUUGAAAUCCCAGAGGGUAGGGUGGUUUCGGUGCAUACUGCUGAUGAGACGGUUGUGACUGAAAUUGAUGUUGUGGUUGAAACUGUUGACUUUGUUGAUUUUGAUUAUUUAACCAAAUGAAAUUUGGAUGGUUGCGGUUGUUGGAGUUGUAGGCAUUCUGGAACUGACUAUGAUUUUUUUGGUAGUUGCUCACAUACUAUACAGAUUCUGAACUAAUAGCACAUUGAUCAGUUGAAUGUGAUCCUGCACAUAUCUCCCAUACAAAUACAACUAUAUUCGCUUUGCUCUCUGCCAAAGAAUCAAUCUUCUUUGCCAUGGAUGCCAUCUGAGCUGACAACUGAGUGAUAACAUCCACCUUUAACAAUCCUGCAACUUUGGGCUAUGGCAUUCUGGCUGUAGGAUUUUGAAAGUCAUUAGCUGUCAUAGUCUCAAUAAGAUUGUAAGCCUCUUCAUAGCUCUUAGCCCAUAAGGCUCCUUCUGCAGCUGCAUCUACAAUCGGCCUUGAUUGCCAUCCCAAUCCAUUAUAAAAUGUAUUAAUCACCAUCCAAUCUGGCAUACCAUGGUGUGGACACUUCUUUAGCAUCUCCUUAUAUCGUUCCUAGGCUUCAUAUAAAGAUUCACUCUGAUGCUGCUCAAACUAGGAAAUUAUUGUCCUCAUUUUAGCAGUCUUAUCCAUUGGAAAAAAUUUAGCUAAGAACUUUUGUGCUAAGUCCUUCCAUGUUGUAAUCGAUCCUGACGGCAAAGAAUGAAGCCAACUUCUAGCCUUGUCCCGUAAAGAGAAUAGAAACAGCUUGAGCCUGAUUGCAUCUUCUGUCACCCUGUUAUAUCUAAAGGUGUCACAUAUCUCUAUAAAACUCAAUAGAUGCUCGUUCAGGUCAUUUAUAGCAGCACCCCCAAACUGUACCGAAGUCUGCACCAUUGAAUAGUGCCCGGCUUUAUCUCGAAAGUGUUGGCUACUAUAGCUGGUCUGACGAUACUUGACUGUAAUCCAUUUAUCUUUGGCAUUAAAUAAUCUCUUAAAGCUCUGUGUUCCUCUCUUUGCUCUUCUGCUGCCAUAUUGGAUGUUGUGGUCUCUAAAGCUGCUUGUAAAUUCCGACGCGCUUUCGAUUUCCAACCUCUUCCGUUAAUGUUAUCCUGUGCAGGUGUUAAUUCGGAAUUGGAUGACCGCGUGUGCAUAAAAUAUAUACAAGUACCUGAAAUACGAACAAAAACAAAAAUAGAAAUAAGAUAAGAAUAUAAUUGUCUAAGUCACAAAAUUUAGCUUUAAAUUGAUGAUGAUAAUACUAAAAAUAAACGCCUUUCCCCGGCAACGGCGCCAAAAACUUAUUGCCUCCUUUCUAGUCUAAUAAAAAGGACUCUAACUCAUGCAAGCAUACAUGGGUCAACAAGUAGUACAGGGUAAGAAGAGUAUCGAUCCACAGAGAAAGGUUUUAAAUCUAAAUUAUCAUACAUCAACUAUAUCACUAUCUUUAUAUGCUUAGACGCUCAACUCACAAUUAACUUUUGAUUCUAAAUCAGUUCAUGAAAUAAAAAUUAUAAUUACUAAAGUGAUGUAAACAAAUUGGAGAAGAAUGGGAUUCUAAUUUCAUUCAAUGUUUCACCUAAACUGCAACCCUCAUGUAAUGUUUAAAUAUUUAUCAUGGAAAGCUAGUCAAGAGCACAAAAGUGGACAUAACCAUUUUUCAACGAACUAUAACCAUUUUACAUAAAAUCCACAUAUGAUAGAAAUCAUGUAAGCAUCACAUUUACCAAAAUCACUAUAUGUCUAUGUGAAAUUAAAGCAAAUAUGAUUUAAAUGCAAGCUCUUUUAAUGACUACACACGGUGGACCGGUAUAUGCCUAUCCAGGUCACUAAUCACAAAGCUUAAACAAAUCAGCCUUAUGAACAUAUGCCAUUAUGAUAUAAUCUACACUUUUACUUCAUUUUUCAAAUCCAUACAAGCAAUUAAUGUGAAUGGUGAUCAAUCAUUCAAAUAUUAAGCAUAAUCAUAAUAGGAAUUUCUACAAUAAAUAUACAACAAUACAAUCAGAUAUACAAAUUUAGAUUACAUAUCAAAAUCCAUUAGAAUUCCAUAAUGGAGUUUAGUUCAUUUCUGAACCAAAAGCCAUUAUGGGAUUGAAGCAACACAUAGAAUUAAACAAUGCAGUCAAAAAAGAUAAAAGAAAUGCGAGAUCAAAUCUGUUAAUCUAUGUUGCAGAGUCUGUUCCAAGUUUGUUCCAAUUCACCCAAAAUCUCCAGAAAAUGAAAAGCUAAUUUUAUUUAGUAAUCUAGAUAAAGAGAGGAUAUAAAAAUGUAUCAUAUAAUGAUCAAAACCUCUUUAGCGUAGUUAAAAACUUAAGAACCUAAUAAUAAUAAUAAAACUGAUAAAGAACUCCCAAAAACUAUGACGGGUGCCAACCAUAUCAUUCAGUUAAGCCUAAUGCGCUCAAAUUUCAAAUUACAAAAAUUCAACAAAACUGACUGUAGAAGACUCGCGCGGCCGCGCAAAAUUGAGCUACAUUACGGGCACGGGCGGGCGAUAGAAUUGUCUGUCGAGAUCUUGGCGUGGGCGCGCCAAAUUCCUUCAUUGAUGGAGCGCGGCCGCGUGAUGGUGAAAAGUAGUCUCUGUAUUCAUGUAGCGCGGGCGCGCGAUGUAAGGCUUGAUUAGCAGCGCGGCCGCGCUGCUGCUGCAUUCUGUCUUCUGCUAUCUUGUUAUUGCUGCUUUUUGUUUGUUGUUAUUUGUUCUUCAUUCCUUCUCUUCUUCACUGCAUUCAUUCACUGCUUCAGUUCCUCAUCUACUCAUGUUCGCCUUGCCAUGCUUUUGCUAGCACCAUGCCAAUCCAUGCUUUCCAUGCCACUUCAUGCCUUAUGUUGCUAAAAGGGGUUCCAACUACAUAAAUUGCAAAACAAACAUAAAAUGCAAAUAAAACAUACUAAAACUACUUGAGAUGAUCAUAAUUCCAGUAAGUUAGCACCCAAUAAGUAGGUAUAAAACCUACUUAUCAAAUUUGGGACAAGUACUUGCCAUUAGUGGAAUUCUCCUACAAUAACAGUUAUCAAGCAAGUAUAGGGAUGGCUCCAUUCGAGGCGUUGUAUGGACACAAGUGUCAUUCUCCAGUAUGUUGGGAUGAGGUAGGUGAAGCAACGUUGUUGGGACCGAAAUUGGUGCGCAUAACAACAGAAAAGAUUCAAAUGAUCCGGCAAUGUAUAAGAACCUCACAAGAUCGACAAAAGAGUUAUGCUGAUCUUCAUCGAAGGGACGUGGAAUUCAAUGUUGGAGAUCAUGUGUUACUACAUGUUGCUCCAUAGAAAGGAGUUAUGAGAUUUGAAAGGAGAGGAAAGCUCAAUCCUCGAUUCAUUGGCCCAUUUGAAAUAGUCGACCGAGUAGGAAUAGACUCGCCUUACCGCCAAGUAUGUCUCGUAUUCAUAACAUUUUUCACAUAUCUAUGUUAUGUAAAUAUGUGGAAGUCCUGAACCACAUUAUUGAAUUAGAACCAGACUAGAUAGUGGAAGACUUAACGUAUGAAGAGGUACCUGUUAAAAUCUAAGAUAAGAAGGAACAUAUUCUACGCUCAAAGGUUAUACCUCAAGUCUAAGUUUUGUGGAGAAACCACGAUGUUGAGGAAAUGACUUGGGAGUUAGAAUCUGAAAUGAAAAUAAGGUAUCCUCACCUCUUCAACAUACCAGGUACGUACACCAAUUUUGAGGAUGAAAUUUCAUAAGAAGGGGAGGUUUGUAAGACCCCAACUUUAAUGAAUAAAGAUUUAAUUUUUUCCAAAUAUCUUUUUUAAUAUUAAGGUGUGUAUUUGAUAUAAUGUGGGUAAUAUUUACAAAUUUUGUAAAGUAAGCAAGUUGUUGUAAAAUAUGCAUUUGGUCGGGGAAUAUUCAUUUUAUUAGGAAAUAUUCGUACGAUGGCACAAUCAUUGGUGGACCACAACAGAAUUACUGACAGAGUUAGAAAACGACAGAAAUAACUUUUUAUAAAAAUAACGACAAAAGUUUUACCGUUAAUUAUUGAAAUACCCGGUGAUAAAAGUACAAUAAUACGCAUGGUUGCAUAGUAGUACACAGUAUUGUAUAGUAUCUUUGAUUAUUGAUGCUUAUGUGAGAAGUUACUCAGUUUUAUUCAAUUAUUGCAACAGUAUUUGCGGCAUAGUAUCUCAUAUUAUUGAUUCAAUUAUUGUCACAGUAUCAUCUGCACAAUAUUUUAUAUUAUUAAAUCAAUAAUUGAGACGACAAAGUUAUUCAUAUUAUUAUUUGCAUUAUUGACAAUGUCUAGAAAGUUUUGUCGAGGAAAUGAGUUUGGUCACCUAAUUACGCACCAAUAAGGAAAAGUUCUUAUCGAAAAGCCUACUCUUUCUGGGAAUGAUCUGGUUGUUAGUAUUGUGAGUUAUAAUAUUGAUGAUGAAUAAGUUCGUGUUGAUUAAAGAUAAGAAUAAUAAUUAAUUAGUGGAAGAUGUUUAAUCAGUUAUCCUUUUAAAUUGGUGUUUGUUCAGCUAAUUUUUUUUAGGGUACAAAAUUCUUCCGUAUGUUAUGAUAAUUGGCCAACUUUUCAAAUAAUACAACUAUUGUUCCCUGCCUUAUGAAUGAGGGUGCUCCCUCAUUGGUCCAUAUCUCCCCAUUUGCUAGUUACCUUUAAAAAAGGGCACUCCCUCAUUGGUCCUUAUCUCCCACUUUGUUAGUUACCUCCUCAAGAGGGCACUCCCUUAUUGGUGGUCUCAAUUAUAUGCUGAUAAAAUUGCGUCCGAAUAUUUUUACUUUGUGUCCGUGAUUAUUUUCCUAAAUAGUAUCCUGCCAUUCUCCUAUAAAUAGGAUGCUUAGUUUAGAAAUGAAAAUUACACCAGAAUCAAAGAAUUCUUCUUCUAUAAUAUUGAGUGUAUUUCUUUUGAGUUAAGGAAACUUUGAGUGUAGAAAAUAGUACAAGUUUUCUUCAAGAAUAUCUUCGUUAUACCAGUCAGAAUUAUUCUCCUAAUAAGGUAAGGGAUAUUAUUUUUGUUCAAUAUUCGUAAGAAAUAAUAUAUUCUUCCAUACUCUGUAGUAUGUAAGUAAUAUUAUUUCGUUUCAUAUUCAUAAUUCUACACUUAUUUUGAUAAGUAUUGCUUCUGUACUCCUUAACAUUAGUAGAAUAUCCUUGAGAUUUGCUCUUCAUCUAGUAUCGUUUCACAAGAAUAUUUUUCUAAACAUUCUUGUUAAAUUUUAAUCUUUUCAUGUUGAGGUACUAUUCACGGGGUACUAUUCGCACGAGCACUAUUCACCCGGGGUACUAUUCACGAUAAAAAUUGAUUUUUUUUUCUGUCCAAAUUAUUUUUACAUAAAUAUUAUUCUUGAAUUUUACUCCACAAAGCAGUUAUCACGUUGAUAAUUUGGACAUUUUUAAACUCUGGAUAAAUUGAAUUAUAAAUCUUUAAUAGUUAUCCUUGAUCUCGUUUGAUUGAAUUCUUAUAUCAUUGUCAUCAUCCUCAUGCUUAUAUUGUGAUGAAAGUCAUCUUUGGCCCCUAGUGCAUAGAUGGACUGUUGAUUGGUAUGAUUAUGACCGGAAAUUAUGUAUCGGUAUAAUCAUGACCUGUAAUGUUACAAAGGUUGUGUUAAAAGUCCUCAUUGGCCCGUAGUGCAUUGAUGCACAUUUGUUUGGCAUGAUCAUGACCACUGGUGAUAAUACGAAUAUCUUUGACCCGUAGUGCAUGGAUAAUUCGUGAAUGUGAUACUAAUAAAUAUCCUUGACCCGUAGUGCAUGAAUAAUUUAGUGAUGUGGAUUAUUUAUUGAGCUGUGUUACAGUGAUAAAAUAUUGAUGAUGAACUUUUAAAUCAUAGUAGAUAUCAUGUUCUACUUGACUCUUCUAGUGGAUUGUUUGUUCCACUGUAGUUAGACUUGUUGUUUAUUGUAUUCUAUUAUUUUAACAUUGUGGAAGGCUAACGAUAAUUUAUUUUGCAUUAUCGUAGUCAUAAUAUUCUUUACUGGGUUAGUUGACCUCACCCUUUGCUUUCAUUGUUCUCUUCAGAAAAUGAGAAUAUAGCUGGGACUAGUCGGAGAAUGGAGUGACGGUCCAGAUGAUUGCUAUAGUAGUCCUCACUAUUUUGUGAAAUAGUGUGAUAAUAAUUUUAAUGAGGACUUCAAUUAAGUUUGAAUAUUGUCUACGAGACAAUAUUCGUGUUAAAACUCUCAACUACGUUUUUAUCGUAUUGUAUAAAUGAAGUUAUAUUUAAAUUUUGUACCAUGUAUUUGACGACUCAGAAUGGGUUGUGUAUACCUAUUUUGAGGGCGUCACAUAUAUAGUACCUACAUAGUGGUAAACAGAUAAAGUUAACAUAGUACUAGGUUAGUUUUUAAGUUAGUUACAAUAUUUUCAAAUAGUUAGUGGCAGAUAUAAAUAUAUUACAAUCUUUCUAAAUAGUUAGUAAUCUUCUUCGUUGAGAGGAGAGAAGUGAAGACCAAGAUUGGGAAAAAGAUCAUCAAGAGAAAUACCAGAAAGAGGAUCACUAAGCAAGGACUCCAGUUUGGCAAAGCUGGUACUUGCAGUGAAAUGGCAAGAAGGCAAAGAAAACUUUUCCAUAACAGAAUGCAACAUGUUCUUAAUAUAAUGCACAGAUUGUUGUAUUGCUUCCAUUUGAAUCAUUAAAUUAUUCUGAUUAAGUAACAGUAAUUGAUUCAUGCUAUUUAUGCCAUCCAGUUAAGAUAUCAUAUUAAGGUUUGACUCAAUGGGUUCAUGAUCAUGAGCUUUAAAGACUAUAAGUAGCCUAGAAGGAAGAUUUAAACGAGAGACAAGAUUCGAGUUUUGAAUAAGUUGAAAUUUUUGAUCAGUGAGAUCAAGCUCAAGAUAAAAUACAAGUAAGAAGAAGUUCAAAACUAAGACAAUUGUUGUUAAAACAAUAUUCAAAAGAGGUUAGCAUAAUGUAUGCAAGAUUGUAUGGCAUGCACUCCUUGAUGAUACAUUUUAUGAUUUCCAUAUGAAAGGGAUGAAGUGUCCAAGUUUCUCUAACUAGCAUAAGAUUUUGUCUAAGAAUUUUACCAAGAAACUAACAGUCAACAGUUAAGAAUUCUAGACCAACAUUGACAGGAAAAUCAAAUAAGAGUGCAGGGAUGAGUUGAUCAAUUGUAAAAGAUAGUUUUUGUUUAAAAAUAAGACAAUCACUCAUUUUUUGUUCUUAGAGGAUGCACAUAUUCAUUUGUCCUAUGCAGUUCCAGAACAGAUGGAUGAAGAUUUAAUGCAUGAAUGAGAAUAGUUUCAUCAAUGACAAAAUUUUUACCCUGAAUGCAUGCACUGAUAGUACUUAGUAAAAGACCAAAGGAAUCUCUAUUGAAAACCAUAUGAGUGAAAAAUUCAGCAAUAAGAUUAGGAUAUAUGUGUCUAUCAAAGAAUACAACUAGACUUUCUCAUCCUAUGACUUAAAAAUGUUCAAGUAAGUCAGGAAAGCUACAGAAUGCAAUGCCUAGACAUGGAGUAAGAGUAUGGUUCAUUAAACGAUAUUUGGUGUGUGCAGAAGGAGUGACUAGAUGUGGUAUACACCCAGAAGGAUUUUUAUCAUAAUGAAGUGAAAGUCUUUUUCUUUUUGAAGAAAAGAUAGGGUCUGUGAUAGACCUACAAGACAGAAAUAUGUAACAAAUAAGACAGACUGAGACUAAAAUGAAUGCAUCAUAUAUUAAAAAUUUCUAUAUAUAGAUGAGAUAGAUAAUCAUUAGUGUCAAUCUUAAUAAAUGAAUUGAAGAUAUGAAGAGUUACUAAUUAAAGAAGAUAUAUAAGGAAAAGAUUGCAUCAGUUAAUACACAUAAAAGCUAGCAAGAAAGAAGGCCAUACUUAUCACUGUGUAUUCCUUUUUCAAGAAAUAUUUAAGUAAAACAGUACUAUGACAGUAAACAGUGUAUAAACUCUCUGUUUAGUCAAAAACAUUAAUAAAACCGUACACCCACUCUCUUUAAAAUUAGUUUUGAUAAAUCAUUUCAAUAGUAAAUCAGUACUCAUAUAUAGAGUCCCAAUGUUACAGCCAAUGAUUGACAAUAGAAAACAACAUUUACGGAUAAACACACAAGAUGAGAUAGUUCAAAAUUUAUGUCCUUAACCAAUUCCAUACGGUAAACAUAUUUUAACCCAAUAAGCCAUAUCAAACAAACAUCAUUCAUAAAAGAUGUAGAUAGAUGAAAGUUAUGUAUUGAAGAAAAAACAAUCCAGUGGACAUCAGUAUCCACAUCCAACCAACUAAUGCACAUAAAAUUAUUUCCAGUAGACAUCAGUGUCUACACUAAAAAAAUACAAAUAGAAACAAUAAAGUAUUGGUUAUAAAAGCUUGCCUUUUAGCACAGCUAUCUGAACAACAACAAAGAUGAAAAGAGCUUCUUUAACAUAAUCUAAUUAUCAGCAUGCACGAUAAUUUGUAAAAGAAUAUAUAUAUAUAUAUAUAUAUAUAUAUAUAUAUAGUUGUAGAAUAAUUUAUAUAUAUGUAGGGAAAAGGUCCAAAAAUGUCCUUGACAUUUAUCCCGAUGUCCCACUUACACCUUAAAUUAAUUUUUUUUUCAAAAGUACCCUUAACGUUAUAAAAAUCAGGUCACCCAUGCCCCUCUCGUUAACGAAUCUGCCACAUUGACAAACGGAACUGACACCUCAUCUAAUUUUGCUGACUAAGCAAAAUAAACAAUUAUACUAACACUACUAUAAAUUAAUUAUUUAAUUUUAGAAUAAUUAAUAUUAAAAAUUAAAAUUUUGCUUCCUCUACUACUCAUACUCUCUAUCUAAUCGCUUGCUUUCUCUCUAGGGUUUCAGAUCUAUCACAAAGCCACUACAGUAUGUAUGUCCCUUUCUUUCUCUGACUGACUUAGAUUUCUAUCUACGGAGGCUCGAGCUCGAAGGCCUCUGACUGUCCGCCGUUGGCCUCCUGUGGAUCUUUCCGAUUCUUCCUUUGAGGUUGGCACAUCAGUUGAUGGAUGGUGGAGCGAUGGCUGAUGGGAAGGUGUUGUACCUGGAGUCUCGCUCUCUAAGAGUGAUAAGUUACACUUCUCUGGCUAAUUGAUUUGUUUGUCUUUUUUAAUUUUAGGUGAGGGCAAGUUCUUGACUCUUCAACGAAAGGAUAUAAGAAGUUGAAGAGAUUGGAUUGAUAAUAGAUGGCUAGAAAUAAAGCCAAAUCCUGAUGUACUCUCCUUCAUAUGCUCAUCUCUCAAACCUAAAACAAAGCCUCCAACAUCCUCAACUAUGAACGAGGCAUCCAAGCUUGGUGGCUCUGCUGCAUUGGAUCGUACGCCUUGAGUCUUUGAUUUUUGGGGAUUUAGAGAGAGAAAAUUAGGAUUUCUGGAGUUUUGUUUGGGGGUUUUGAAAUUUGAUUUUGAAGGUGUAAAUUUGUUUUUCAAAAAUAAAAUUUUUCUCAAUUUGUGAGUUUGAGGCCGAGUCGUGGGAAUGAAUCGGUGGUACGGACGAGUCGACAGUGGCGGAGUGAGGGUUGGUGAAUUCGUGGUGGGGUUGCUGGUGAGUCAACGGUGGCGAAGUGUUUGUUGAUGGUGUUAAAAUUUUACAAACUACAAAUUCAUUAAGAGAAAGAAGACUACAUUAAUUUUUGUAUUAAUUAAUUUAGAGUUAAUUGUAUUAAUUAAUUCAAGAUGAUGAAUUUUUGUUAUUUGUAUUAAUGAAUUAAAUAUAAAUAUAAAUAUUUAUUUUGUUUAUUAAU
Molecule: long non-coding RNA, 24216 nt
Filed under: Panax ginseng (ginseng)
Lineage: Eukaryota; Viridiplantae; Streptophyta; Magnoliopsida; Apiales; Araliaceae
Description: long non-coding RNA (PGIN_LNC004791)
Rfam family: Plant small nucleolar RNA R71 (bases 15143-15249)
Source: RNAcentral